GGGGUGUGCUCAGAGCAGGGGGCCUGAAGAGUGGCUCCUCUGUUUACAACACACCCAACAGGAAUCUCAGGUCAUUGUGACAAAGGGCGGCAGCACAGAACUUGGGGCCUCCCUACAAACAAAUGCCCUACACUU
RNAcentral lists this small nucleolar RNA (135 nucleotides) under Prolemur simus (greater bamboo lemur). RNAcentral's name for it is "Small nucleolar RNA SNORA11 (ENSPSMG00000018979.1)". It matches the Rfam family "Small nucleolar RNA SNORA11". Rfam says of the family: U107 (SNORA11) is a member of the H/ACA class of snoRNAs that guide the sites of modification of uridines to pseudouridines. This snoRNA was identified by RT-PCR from blood cells and its expression confirmed by Northern blot analysis. Lineage: Eukaryota; Metazoa; Chordata; Mammalia; Primates; Lemuridae. The record is from Rfam by way of RNAcentral.